Molecule: ribosomal RNA, 744 nt
Filed under: uncultured bacterium
Lineage: Bacteria
Description: bacterial SSU rRNA
Rfam family: Bacterial small subunit ribosomal RNA
Source: RNAcentral
GAACGCUGGCGGCGUGCCUAACACAUGCAAGUCCAACGUGAAAGGGGAGCAAUCCCCCGGUAGGGUGGCAAACGGGUGAGUAAUACAUGGGUGAUCUACCUUAGGGAUGGGGAUAUCCUUCCGAAAGGAGGGGCAAUACCGAAUAUUGUCCGGAGCCGUGAAGGGUUCCGGGGAAAGGGAGGCCUCUGAUACAAGCUUUCGCCUUAAGAUGAGCCCAUGGCCCAUCAGCUAGUUGGUAGGGUAAAGGCCUACCAAGGCUACGACGGGUCGCUGGUCUGAGAGGACGACCAGCCACACUGGCACUGAAAUACGGGCCAGACUCCUACGGGAGGCAGCAGUGAGGAAUAUUGCGCAAUGGGGGAAACCCUGACGCAGCAACGCCGCGUGUGGGAAGAAGGCCUUCGGGUCGUAAACCACUUUUGCACGGGACGAAAAAGGGAUAUCGAACAAAUAUCCCCGAUGACGGUACCGUGAGAAUAAGCCACGGCUAACUCUGUGCCAGCAGCCGCGGUAAGACAGAGGUGGCAAGCGUUGUUCGGAAUUACUGGGCGUAAAGAGUCUGUAGGUGGUUUGUCAAGUCUUUGGUGAAAGGCCGUAGCUUAACUAUGGGAAUGCCAAAGAGACUGGCAGGCUGGAGGCUGGGAGAGGGAAGCGGAAUUUCUGGUGUAGCGGUGAAAUGCGUAGAUAUCAGAAGGAAGGCCGGUGGCGAAGGCGGCUUCCUGGAACAGUCCUGACACUGAGAGA